AGAUCUUGAAGCGGCUAUUCCUGAGGAUAUACCCAAUGAUCCACCGCAGCAAGACGACGAUCUUAUUGCUGAAGAUAGACCUAUUGAUACCUCAAAUCCUGUCAAUCAGCCCACAAGCUCUAUCCGGAAUGAGACAUCCACCGGUCCAACAAAACCUACUGACAAGCCAACAGCCCCAGUGCAAACCGGCGAUACCAAGGAUGAUGAGGUUGUCAUUACUGGCACUGGCCAUACAGAGCCAAACAAUCCUGUCGCUUUGUCCAAACACUCUACCAAGGAAGAAGUUGCUGCCUUUGGCAAAGGCAAGUGGAAUGCUAAUCUGGCGACUUAUGCUUCUCUUAACGCCCAAGAUAUCCAUUCCGGCUACCUAAACCGGCUGUAUACCAGUCGUGACUAUGAAGCCGGUCUGGUUAACAUGAUGAAAGAUAAAUAUGAGGCUGAGCUGAAGACGAAAGAAAGCCAAGUCGCCGAUCUCCAAGAAAAUGUGAAAUCCCAACAAGAUUAAACCUCCAAAGCCAAAGAGGAGUUAACCAGCGCUUUAAGCGCCAUGGAAUAGCUCAAGGAGGGCUUUAAGAAAGAAUGGGCGGAUUGGGUUACUGACAAAUCCGCUUUAACCAAACGAGCACAAGAUGCCGAGGCUGCACUUAAACCGGUGGCGGACGAAUUGGCCAGCAUAAAGCGGCAUGUGCAUGCCAUGACCAGUGCCUUCUUUGGGACACGCAUUGGUCAUCUAAGGUCAGAUGUGCGGAAGAAAUUGAAGGCCGCCUAUACACUGAUCGAACAACUGUAUACUGGUGCACAACGGAUCAUCAGUACUGCAUCCCCCAACAAACCGGCGCCCACUUUGAUUCAGGACACUCUACAGAAACUGGUGGUGCUUCAUGCUCUGGUUGAAGAACUGAAGAAAUUUGCUGCCCGAACCAGCACGAUCAACGCCUUAAUCCAGGCUAAAGCUUGGGUGCCAGAUUUUGAUCCUAUUGAAGCGGCUCAGGGCUAUCCUAGCCUGAAGGAAGACGGGUCAGAAUUUGGUGAAGCGGAUCUGCGAGCAAUAAACCGGGAGGUGCG
Long non-coding RNA from Triticum dicoccoides, 1065 nucleotides. RefSeq lists it as uncharacterized. NCBI's taxonomy places the organism in Eukaryota, Viridiplantae, Streptophyta, Magnoliopsida, Poales, Poaceae. The record is from RefSeq and is a predicted model, not a curated record. The transcript is spliced from 3 exons.